GAUGAACGCUGGCGGCGUGCCUAAUACAUGCAAGUCGAGCGAACGGACGAGAAGCUUGCUUCUCUGAUGUUAGCGGCGGACGGGUGAGUAACACGUGGAUAACCUACCUAUAAGACUGGGAUAACUUCGGGAAACCGGAGCUAAUACCGGAUGAUAUUUUGAACCGCAUGGUUCAAAAGUGAAAGACGGUCUUGCUGUCACUUAUAGAUGGAUCCGCGCUGCAUUAGCUAGUUGGUAAGGUAACGGCUUACCAAGGCAACGAUGCAUAGCCGACCUGAGAGGGUGAUCGGCCACACUGGAACUGAGACACGGUCCAGACUCCUACGGGAGGCAGCAGUAGGGAAUCUUCCACAAAGGGCGAAAGCCUGACGGAGCAACGCCGCGUGAGUGAUGAAGGUCUUCGGAUCGUAAAACUCUGUUAUUAGGGAAGAACAUAUGUGUAAGUAACUGUGCACAUCUUGACGGUACCUAAUCAGAAAGCCACGGAUAACUACGUG
This 497-nucleotide ribosomal RNA is filed under the name uncultured bacterium. Its description in RNAcentral is "partial 16S ribosomal RNA". It matches the Rfam family "Bacterial small subunit ribosomal RNA", at positions 28 to 507 of the family's 1533-position model. The record is from RNAcentral.